Molecule: transfer RNA, 88 nt
Filed under: Sulfurisphaera ohwakuensis
Lineage: Archaea; Thermoproteati; Thermoproteota; Thermoprotei; Sulfolobales; Sulfolobaceae
Also listed under: 1 other name
Description: tRNA-Arg
Rfam family: tRNA
About the family: Transfer RNA (tRNA) molecules are approximately 80 nucleotides in length.
Source: RNAcentral
GGACCCGUAGCUCAGCCAGGAUAGAGCGCCGGCCUGCGGUUUUAAAGUAGGGAGCCGGCGGUCCCGGGUUCAAGUCCCGGCGGGUCCG